UUUAGAGGACUCAAUUUUUGAAUAUGAACAAAACUUCCAAAAACAUUGACACGACCCUGACUAAGAUCGUAGCCAUGAGUUUCUCUUUACUAUUAUUUUUGAACAAGCCAAAAAUCAAUAUAUUCAAGAAACGUUCUUAGUACAAGAAGUGCUUAGAGCAAAAACAAAAUAAAUUUUACAAUGUUUCUACUGUAUGAUCAAAACAUAUCAGAAAUACAAACUAAAUUACUCAAACAAGAAGUAAAACAAUUAACCACAAGCGAUGUCAAUGCACUCUAAGGGUUGAGAGUACCAUUGGUUAUACCCAUAACAAAAUUUACAUGCAAUUUGAUCCACCUCCAUGCUAAAAGUUUAACAUGCACAAUAAUAAGAUUUUCAUUCAAAACAUGCGAAUGAAAAAUCGCCUCAUUUCUUGAUUUCCAAAUUGUCCACAUCACCAUAAACCAAACUAAAUUAAUUACUUGACGCGUUACACGGCCGCAUAAAAAAAGGUCAUCAAAUUGGUUAGCAUGAUUGAUUGCAUUCUUAUGAAAUACACCAAUAGUCCAAAUCAAUUCAAAACACCAUACCACACGGAUCCAAAAAGAGGGCACACAAAGAACAAAUGACUGACUGUUUCAACUUCCCCACAACUUGCUACACAUUGUUGAUCUUCAACAGAAAUGAUUAUUCGACGGAAUAAAUUUUCCUUUGUAGGCAACCUAUCUUGAAACAACCUCCACAUAAAUAAUGAUACUUUUGCUUGGACAAAAGGAUGUCACACUAGGUCUUGAAAUGGAGGCGUGUUGAUACUAGCGAAAACUCCUCCCGUAGUACAAAAUAUGCCUCAUUUACCGAAUAUGAUCCUCCUUGUGUAUUGUUCCAUGACAACUUAUCAGAUACAUUAACUUGCAAAUGAACGUUAGCCAAUAAAAUCGUACAUUGCUCCACCAAUUCCUCCUCCCACGCAAAGAACUGCCUCUGCCAUCUCCACCCUCAAAUACCUUCCCGUCGCAACAUCUCUACCAUAACAUCUCUUUACUAUAAAUAAUUUCUCAUAUAUUCUAUUUUUAUGAUGUAUUUUAAUGAAGCCUCUUUUUUUUAUAUAAUUUUGUAGGAAACCAUCUAUACAAUAUCUCUAUAUAAUUUAGUAAUAUUAUAAAGCUACAAUUAAAGAAUUUU
This 1161-nucleotide long non-coding RNA is filed under the name Cicer arietinum (chickpea). Its description in RNAcentral is "long non-coding RNA (CARI_LNC001485)". The record is from RNAcentral. Lineage: Eukaryota; Viridiplantae; Streptophyta; Magnoliopsida; Fabales; Fabaceae.